RNAcentral lists this ribosomal RNA (253 nucleotides) under uncultured bacterium. RNAcentral describes it as "partial 16S ribosomal RNA". It matches the Rfam family "Bacterial small subunit ribosomal RNA", at positions 524 to 776 of the family's 1533-position model. The record is from RNAcentral.
UACGUAGGGUGCAAGCGUUAAUCGGAAUUAUUGGGCGUAAAGGGCGCGUAGGCGGCUUGGCAAGUGGAAGGUGAAAUCCCUCGGCUUAACCGAGGAACUGCCCUCCAAACUGCUUCGCUUGAGACCGGGAGAGGUGAGUGGAAUUCCCAGUGUAGCGGUGAAAUGCGUAGAUAUUGGGAGGAACACCAGUGGCGAAGGCGGCUCACUGGACCGGUACUGACGCUGAUGCGCGAAAGCGUGGGGAGCAAACGGG